This 204-nucleotide ribosomal RNA is filed under the name Triparma pacifica. Its description in RNAcentral is "partial Bacterial small subunit ribosomal RNA". It matches the Rfam family "Bacterial small subunit ribosomal RNA", at positions 574 to 777 of the family's 1533-position model. The record is from RNAcentral. Lineage: Eukaryota; Bolidophyceae; Parmales; Triparmaceae.
GGCGGUUUGUUAAGUCGGAUGUGAAAGCCCUGGGCUCAACCUAGGAAUUGCAUUCGAUACUGGCAGACUAGAGUACGGCAGAGGGUGGCGGAAUUUCGGGUGUAGCGGUGAAAUGCGUAGAUAUCCGAAGGAACACCGAUGGCGAAGGCAACCACCUGGGCCUGUACUGACGCUGAGACACGAAAGCGUGGGGAGCAAACAGGA